CCAAAUGUCCCUGUGUCACUACCUAGGGACCUAACAGGCCCAGAGACUUCUCCCACUGGGGUCCAAGCAAGAGCUGCCCACCCAGAAGCACAGGGCACAGGCUGCUGGAAUCACCCCAGAGGGAGGUUUGGUGUUGCCCAGGGACUGUGGAUUCUGUGUGUGUGUGAACCUUUGGAGCCAGCUUCUCGCACAGUAUCUCCACCUACGGCCUGCAGUGUGUUCCCAGCUCCCAGGACCCGCACACGCUAGGUGCUUGCUACCUUUUUUGUCAUCAAAUGGAUGAAAGCGGAAAAGAAAAGCGAUAACGGCGAGCAUCCACUGAACACAACUGCAGCACCAAGGCCUCACCAGGGUUGGCACUAGGAUGGACCCACCCAGCAGGAAACCAGAGACUGGCAGACUGAGGUAGAGCGGGAGGAAGUAACUGGUGCAAGCCUUUCCAAAGAGUGCGAGAAGCACCCCAACAUUGCAGCAUCCUGACUUUUUCCGAGAUGCUCUGCUGCCGCAGUCUCUGAGGGCCCAACCUUCCCUCAGCCGGGAGCCAAGAGGACAUCAACAGCCCUCCGGCCUCCCUCUCCGCUGCCACCCAGCUUGCGCCAUAUUUCAGCACGAUCCCCACUCUGGUACCAAAUUCUGCUGCUCUCCCAGGCUUCUCAUCUCAGAUCACGGGCCCAUGCUCACCCAGAUGCUCGAAGCUCACCCAGAAGCAGGGGAGUUAUCCUUGCAUCUCGUACUUCCUGAAAGCUCAUGCCAGGAGAUCCUGCUGUCCCGAACUCCAGAAGGUGCUUCCCCCCCGCCCCCCACGCACACUUCUCCAUUUGCACCAACGCUAGUCCGGGCUAUUCUUUUACCUGGACAACUAGUCUCGUGUCCCUGCCUCUAGCCAUCUUGCACCAUUACAGUGAUGUUGAAAAAGUACAAACAGUAGUAUUUUACUACCCUGUUCGAAACCCUUGUUCACUCCCUAUCACACACAAAAUAAGACCUGGACUCUGGCCACGAGCCCGGAAGGACUCCAGGCCACCUAGCUCCUGCCUGCCUUCCACUCCAACUAUCUUCCACCACCGCCGGACCACCAACUCACUCAGCCUCAAGCUUGCCAUUGAUCCUUCCCUCCACCGGAUGCACCUUUGCAGACAGGCUUUGCGUGGUUAGCUUCCUUCAUUCACUCGUGUCUCUCGAGGACCCCUCCCCAACACCUCCUGUCACUCUGCUUCAUUCUCUAUUGGCUGUUUCUUCCAGCAAACUGUGAGCCCCAUGGUGGCAGGAGCCUGACACUCAUGGCUGUGUCCCCAGGGCCCAGCACAGGGUCCGGUACAUAGAGCGUGGGUCGUUAUUACCAUCUACUGACCCUUCAAAAGGAGGAGAUCUUAUC
Long non-coding RNA from Ailuropoda melanoleuca (giant panda), 1375 nucleotides. RefSeq lists it as uncharacterized. NCBI's taxonomy places the organism in Eukaryota, Metazoa, Chordata, Mammalia, Carnivora, Ursidae. The transcript is spliced from 4 exons. The record is from RefSeq and is a predicted model, not a curated record.